This is a long non-coding RNA of Ictalurus punctatus (channel catfish), 601 nucleotides long. Lineage: Eukaryota; Metazoa; Chordata; Actinopteri; Siluriformes; Ictaluridae. The record is from Ensembl.
CACUGACAAAGAAAUGAUCAGUCUAUAAUUUUAAUGGUAGAUUUAUUUGAACAGUGAGAGACAGAAUAACAACAAAAAAAUCCAGAAAAACGCACGUCAAAAAUGCUAUAAAUUGAUUUGCAUUUUAAUGAGGGAAAUAAGUAUUUGACCCCUCUGCAAAACAUGACUUAGUACUUGGUUUAAAAACCCUUGUUGGCAAUCACAGAGGUCAGACGUUUCUUGUAGUUGGCCACCAGGUUUGCACACAUCUCAGGAGGGAUUUUGUCCCACUCCUCUUUGCAGAUCUUCUCCAAGUCAUUAAGGUUUCGAGGCUGACGUUUGGCAACUCGAACCUUCAGCUCCCUCCACAGAUUUUCUAUGGGAUUAAGGUCUGGAGACUGGCUAGGCCACUCCAGGACCUUAAUGUGCUUCUUCUUGAGCCACUCCAUUGUUGCCUUGGCCGUGUGUUUUGGGUCAUCGUCAUGCUGGAAUACCCAUCCACGAGCCAUUUUCAAUGCCCUGGCUGAGGGAAGGAGGUUCUCACCCAAGAUUUGACGGUACAUGGCCCCGUCCAUCGUCCCUUUGAUGCGGUGAAGUUGUCCUGUCUCCUUAGCAGAAAAAC